Molecule: ribosomal RNA, 147 nt
Organism: Bison bison bison
Lineage: Eukaryota; Metazoa; Chordata; Mammalia; Artiodactyla; Bovidae
Rfam family: 5.8S ribosomal RNA
About the family: 5.8S ribosomal RNA (5.8S rRNA) is a component of the large subunit of the eukaryotic ribosome.
Source: Ensembl
GACUCUUAGAAGUGGAUCACUCUGCUCCAGCAUCCAUGAAGAAUGCUGUGAGAAUUAAUGUGAAUUGCAGGAUGCAGUGAUCAUUCAUACUUCUGUUGCACUUGUGGUCCUGGGCCUCCUCCAGCUGCUAGGCCUAUCUGAGUGUGG